AUUCCCACAGUUUAAUAAAUAAACAUCUUAUUUUCAAUAAGAAGAUUAAAUAUAAUUUAUAGGAAUA
Molecule: transfer RNA, 67 nt
Filed under: Xenophyes cascus
Lineage: Eukaryota; Metazoa; Arthropoda; Insecta; Hemiptera; Peloridiidae
Description: tRNA-Glu(ttc)
Source: RNAcentral